Molecule: ribosomal RNA, 348 nt
Filed under: uncultured Pelotomaculum sp.
Lineage: Bacteria; Bacillati; Bacillota; Clostridia; Eubacteriales; Desulfotomaculaceae
Description: bacterial SSU rRNA
Rfam family: Bacterial small subunit ribosomal RNA
Source: RNAcentral
AGGUGGUGCAUGGUUGUCGUCAGCUCGUGUCGUGAGAUGUUGGGUUAAGUCCCGCAACGAGCGCAACCCCUACGGUUAGUUGCUAACGGGUAAGGCCGAGCACUUUAGCCGAACUGCCGUUGACAAAACGGAGGAAGGCGGGGAUGACGUCAAAUCAUCAUGCCCUUUAUGUCCUGGGCUACACACGUGCUACAAUGGCCUGUACAGACGGAGGCGAAGCCGCGAGGCGGAGCAAAUCCGAAAAAGCCGGGUCUCAGUUCGGAUUGCAGGCUGCAAUUCGCCUGCAUGAAGUCGGAAUCGCUAGUAAUCGCAGGUCAGCAUACUGCGGUGAAUACGUUCCCGGGCCUU